This 547-nucleotide long non-coding RNA is filed under the name Heterocephalus glaber (naked mole-rat). RNAcentral's name for it is "lncRNA (ENSHGLG00000032916.1)". The record is from RNAcentral. Lineage: Eukaryota; Metazoa; Chordata; Mammalia; Rodentia; Bathyergidae.
GCACGGUGCAGGCGUACACGGGCAGGGGCUGUGCGCACGCGCGGCCAGCGGCCGCCUACGUGCAGCUGGCUCUGACGGUUGCUAGGGUGACAGGAAUACAAUAUGGCGGUGGGCCCCUUCAGGCUCUCUGGUGGAGGUACCGCUGCGGGGGUCCCCAGCCCCACUUCCCGCCCUUUCUUUCCAGUCCAGGGUCAGCGAGGCGUUAUCGCCAGCGCCUGCAUCCGGGAUGAAGAAGUGCCACUGUCAGCGCAUCACAGUCUGGGUGGAGUUGGAUCAUGGCUCUGGCACCCUUCAAGUUCCACUCCUUAGAGGCGACCGCACACUUUCCAUUGUGUCUCACUGUGUGUGUCUGUGUAAAUGCGUGUGUCUCAGGGAGGGGGAGUGUGAAGAAAGAAGUGGGGAUAUCAUGCACAGACUACAAAGCACUCAGCAAGAUAGGAGAGGGGACAUUUUCUGAAGUCCUAAAGAUGCAGAGCCUGCUCGAUGGGGGAUUCUACACCUGUAAACAGAUGAAGCAGCACUUCAUAGGUGGGCAGGCGGAGCAGGC